Molecule: ribosomal RNA, 460 nt
Filed under: uncultured bacterium
Lineage: Bacteria
Description: partial 16S ribosomal RNA
Rfam family: Bacterial small subunit ribosomal RNA
Source: RNAcentral
CCUACGGGCAGCAGCAGUGAGGAAUAUUGGUCAAUGGGCGCGAGACUGAACCAGCCAAGUAGCGUGAAGGAUGACUGCACUACGGGUUGUAAACUUCUUUUAUAAAGGAAUAAAGUGAGGCACGUGUGCCUUUUUGUAUGUACUUUAUGAAUAAGGAUCGGCUAACUCCGUGCCAGCAGCCGCGGUAAUACGGAGGAUGCGAGCGUUAUCCGGAUUUAUUGGGUUUAAAGGGAGCGUAGAUGGGUUGUUAAGUCAGUUGUGAAAGUUUGGGGCUCAACCGUAAAAUUGCAAUUGAUACUGGCAGUCUUGAGUACAGUUGAGGUAGGCGGAAUUCGUGGUGUAGCGGUGAAAUGCAUAGAUAUCACGAAGAACUCCGAUUGCGAAGGCAGCUUACUAAACUGCCACUGACACUGAUGCACGAAAGUGUGGGUAUCAAACAGGAUUAGAUACCCCUGUAGUC